This 438-nucleotide ribosomal RNA is filed under the name uncultured bacterium. Its description in RNAcentral is "partial 16S ribosomal RNA". It matches the Rfam family "Bacterial small subunit ribosomal RNA", at positions 339 to 795 of the family's 1533-position model. The record is from RNAcentral.
CCUCGGGUGGCAGCAGUGGGGAAUAUUGCACAAUGGGGGAAACCCUGAUGCAGCGACGCCGCGUGAGUGAAGAAGUAUCUCGGUACGUAAAGCUCUAUCAGCAGGGAAGAAAAUGACGGUACCUGACUAAGAAGCCCCGGCUAACUACGUGCCAGCAGCCGCGGUAAUACGUAGGGGGCAAGCGUUAUCCGGAUUUACUGGGUGUAAAGGGAGCGUAGACGGUGGGCCAAGUCUGGAGUGAAAUGCCGCAGCUUAACUGCGGAACUGCUUUGGAAACUGGCGAACUAGAGGGCGGGAGGGGGAAGCGGAAUUCCUAGUGUAGCGGUGAAAUGGGUAGAUAUUAGGAGGAACACCGGUGGCGAAGGCGGCUUACUGGACCGAAACUGACGUUGAGGCUCGAAAGCGUGGGAGCAAACAGGAUUAGAUACCCCUGUAGUC